This 405-nucleotide unclassified non-coding RNA is filed under the name soil metagenome. RNAcentral's name for it is "partial contains 5.8S ribosomal RNA, internal transcribed spacer 2, and large subunit ribosomal RNA". The stretch from base 1 to 121 matches the Rfam family "5.8S ribosomal RNA", at positions 35 to 154 of the family's 154-position model. The record is from RNAcentral.
GAUGAAGAACGCAGCGAAAUGCGAUAAGUAAUGUGAAUUGCAGAAUUCAGUGAAUCAUCGAAUCUUUGAACGCACCUUGCGCCCUUUGGACAUUCCGAAGGGCAUGCCUGUUUGAGUAUCAUGAACACCUCAACUCUCACGGCUUGUCCGUGAUGAGCUUGGACUUUGGGGGUCUUGCCGGGCUGUGGUCGGCUCCUCUCAAAUGGAUCAGCUUGCCAGUGUUUGGUGGCAUCACAGGUGUGAUAACUAUCUGCGCUUGUGGUUUUCCAUCAGAUAACCUUCAGUGAUAUGGAGGUUCGCUGGAGCUCACAAAUGUCUCUCCUUAGUGAGGACAGCUCUUUGAACGUUUGAUCUCAAAUCAGGUAGGACUACCCGCUGAACUUAAGCAUAUCAAUAAGCGGAGGA